This 465-nucleotide ribosomal RNA is filed under the name Vreelandella stevensii. RNAcentral's name for it is "partial 16S ribosomal RNA". It matches the Rfam family "Bacterial small subunit ribosomal RNA", at positions 338 to 795 of the family's 1533-position model. Lineage: Bacteria; Pseudomonadati; Pseudomonadota; Gammaproteobacteria; Oceanospirillales; Halomonadaceae. The record is from RNAcentral.
CCUACGGGUGGCAGCAGUGGGGAAUAUUGGACAAUGGGGGCAACCCUGAUCCAGCCAUGCCGCGUGUGUGAAGAAGGCCCUCGGGUUGUAAAGCACUUUCAGUGAGGAAGAACGCCUGGUGGUUAAUACCCAUCAGGAAAGACAUCACUCACAGAAGAAGCACCGGCUAACUCCGUGCCAGCAGCCGCGGUAAUACGGAGGGUGCGAGCGUUAAUCGGAAUUACUGGGCGUAAAGCGCGCGUAGGUGGCUUGAUAAGCCGGUUGUGAAAGCCCCGGGCUCAACCUGGGAACGGCAUCCGGAACUGUCAAGCUAGAGUGCAGGAGAGGAAGGUAGAAUUCCCGGUGUAGCGGUGAAAUGCGUAGAGAUCGGGAGGAAUACCAUUGGCGAAGGCGGCCUUCUGGACUGACACUGACACUGAGGUGCGAAAGCGUGGGUAGCAAACAGGAUUAGAUACCCCUGUAGUC